Molecule: ribosomal RNA, 253 nt
Filed under: uncultured bacterium
Lineage: Bacteria
Description: partial 16S ribosomal RNA
Rfam family: Bacterial small subunit ribosomal RNA
Source: RNAcentral
UACGUAGGGUGCAAGCGUUGUCCGGAAUUAUUGGGCGUAAAGAGCUCGUAGGCGGUCUGUCGCGUCGGCUGUGAAACUCGGGGCUCAACUCCGAGCUUGCAGUCGAUACGGGCAGGCUAGAGUUCGGCAGGGGGAGACUGGAAUUCCUGGUGUAGCGGUGAAAUGCGCAGAUAUCAGGAGGAACACCGGUGGCGAAGGCGGGUCUCUGGGCCGAUACUGACGCUGAGGAGCGAAAGCGUGGGGAGCGAACAGG